Molecule: unclassified non-coding RNA, 391 nt
Filed under: uncultured Glomus
Lineage: Eukaryota; Fungi; Glomeromycota; Glomeromycetes; Glomerales; Glomeraceae
Description: SSU rRNA
Rfam family: Eukaryotic small subunit ribosomal RNA
Source: RNAcentral
AGCAGCCGCGGUAAUUCCAGCUCCAAUAGCGUAUAUUAAAGUUGUUGCAGUUAAAAGCUCGUAGUUGAAUUUCGGGAUCAAUAUGCUGGUCGUGCCAUUGGUACGUACUAGUAUUAUUGGUUUCUCCUUUCUGAUGAAUCAUGAUGUCAUUAAUUUGAUGUCAUGAGGAAUCAGGACUGUUACUUUGAAAAAUUGAGUGUUUAAAGCAGGCUCGCGCUUGAAUACAUUAGCAUGGAAUAAUGAAAUAGGAUGUUUGAUUCUAUUUUGUUGGUUUCUAGGAUUGACGUAAUGAUUAAUAGGGAUAGUUGGGGGCAUUAGUAUUCAAUUGUCAGAGGUGAAAUUCUUGGAUUUAUUGAAGACUAACUACUGCGAAAGCAUUGCCAAGGAUGUU